CUCAGUUUCAGUGUUUUUCUCUGUUGCUAUACAGUUUGCUUUGAGGAUAAUUUUAUCAAAAAGGUCUGCUUUUAUCUAUUGUUUUUCUAUUAGUUUCAAGCUCUAUUCUCAUUUUGUGGAUGUUUUAUGGAUAGCUAUGACAUCGAUUCUAUUGUUUUGCUCCCUAAUUGAUUUGGGUUGUUUCGCUAUUGCUGAAAUCCUGAAAAUUCAGUACAUAUUUUUCGCUCGCAGUCAAAACUUAAAGCUAUAAGAUUCCA
This 257-nucleotide long non-coding RNA is filed under the name Nicotiana benthamiana. RNAcentral describes it as "long non-coding RNA (NBEN_LNC040743)". The record is from RNAcentral. Lineage: Eukaryota; Viridiplantae; Streptophyta; Magnoliopsida; Solanales; Solanaceae.